CCUACGGGAGGCAGCAGUGAGGGAUAUUGCGCAAUGGGCGAAAGCCUGACGCAGCGACGCCGCGUGGGCGAGGAAGGCCUUCGGGUCGUAAAGCUCUGUCAGAGGGGAAGAAAUGCAGGUGGUGAACAACCAUUCUGUUUGACGGUACCCUCAAAGGAAGCACCGGCUAACUCCGUGCCAGCAGCCGCGGUAAUACGGAGGGUGCGAGCGUUGUUCGGAAUUAUUGGGCGUAAAGCGCGUGUAGGCGGUUUGUUAAGUCUGAGGUAAAAGCCCCGGGCUCAACCUGGGAAGUGCAUUGGAUACUGGCAGACUUGAGUACGGGAGAGGAGAGUGGAAUUCCCAGUGUAGGAGUGAAAUCCGUAGAUAUUGGGAGGAACACCGGUGGCGAAGGCGGCUCUCUGGACCGAUACUGACGCUGAGACGCGAAAGCGUGGGGAGCAAACAGGAUUAGAUACCCCUGUAGU
Molecule: ribosomal RNA, 464 nt
Filed under: uncultured Geobacteraceae bacterium
Lineage: Bacteria; Pseudomonadati; Thermodesulfobacteriota; Desulfuromonadia; Geobacterales; Geobacteraceae
Description: partial 16S ribosomal RNA
Rfam family: Bacterial small subunit ribosomal RNA
Source: RNAcentral